CAGGUCAUCCAACUAAAACAUCCGACUUCUGACAAGUUCUGUGGAAGAGUGUGUAACCAAGUCUGGUGCUGUGUAUUACACGGGCGACAUGGAAGGCUUUUCGGAGUGGUUUUGGGAUGAGAAUUUUUGGCUGACACCCGGUAUAAAAUGGGAGGAUUUAAAGUCAAAAACACCCGGAGUUUACUAUGGACAAUUUUCAGAUAUUGGUCUACCCUCGAUCUAUAUGGGUUUAUUUAUGACCGUCUUAAGAUUCGCGUGUUUUAGGUUAAUAUUUAUUCCUAUUGGAAAACACUUUGGAAUCAGAGUCAAGAGGCCGAGGAAUGCUACACCAAAUCCUGACUUGGAAGUAGAAUAUAAAAAAUCUAAAUUUCCUAAAGAUGAAAAAGUAAAGAGCAUGGUAAAGAAAACCAGUUUAACUGAACGAGAGAUACAGAGAUGGUUUCGAGUGCGGAGACAACAGGGCGCCCCCGGUAAUAUGCAGAAGUUUUGUGAAUGCAGCUGGAAUUUCCUGUUUUACGGGUCUGUGUUUGUGUAUGGAGUUUACAUUCUGUGGGAUGAACCCUGGUUUUGGGAAACCAAGUACUGUUUCAUAGACUGGCCUUAUCAGCACAUCUCCGAUGGUCUGUACUGGUACUAUUUACUUGAGAUGGGGUACUACUGGGGCCUUCUCUUCUCACUAGUGUUUGAUUACAGGAGAAAGGACUGGAUGGAGAUGACACUUCACCACGUUAUAACACUGGCCCUGAUGGGAUUCUCCUGGGGAAUCAACUUCUCUCGUAUGGGCUGUAUGAUCGUCAUCACACACGAUGUCGCCGACAACUGGAUGGCAAGUGCAAAAAUGGCCAAGUACUGCAAGAAGCAGACACUCUGUGAGGUGCUGUUUGGUGUGUUUAUCCUCCUGUGGCUGUUCACGCGAUGCUACGUCUUCCCCUUCAAAAUGUUGUACGCCAGUAUGGUGGAGAUUCAUGAGUAUGUGGAUCACUUCCCGGUACACAACAUCUUCCUGGGACUGCUGCUCUUCCUCCAAGUAUUACAUAUCCUCUGGACCUACUCCAUCCUCUCUAUAGCCUUCCAGAAGUUCACAGAAGGGGAGUUGAAGAAGGAUGUACGCAGUGACACAGAGGAUGAUGAUGAGGCGGAUAACAGCGACGACAACGCUAACGACUCGAUGAAAGACUUUAACACCAUUCUGCCUCACGUGGGUAAUGGCGACGCUGGUAAAGCCGACGGUCUCAUACAACGGAGGACAUAGGAUAUAUGUUGUUGUGUAUUCAGGAGCGUUGAGAAUGCUUCAAAAAUAAUUCAUAUUGGGAUUUGUGGAUAACUACUUGGUCCAAUUUUAAGUUGUAGCUGAUGUGGACACUCUAGUAUGUACGUAACCUUCACAGAAAGUGUAUCAUCUAGGGGAUCACCCAGGUGUCCCUUGGGUUAGUUUCUCCAGGAAACUGGAGGAUGUACAGUACACUGUAUCGUUCAUUCCAGUGAAGGAUAAUCAGAUAGCCGGCGAUAACCAUUCCACCCUCCCCGAUAUUGAUAAGACCGUGUGAUUGAUUCCUUCCGAGGUUUAUAAAGAUGUUGUCCAUUAUAAUUCCCUCCGAGGACCUGGGGAUCACAUCCAGAACACACCUCUGGAGAAAUAUGUACAUAUAACAAGGUCUUUUCCUGUGAAAAUCGUCCUUUGGAUUUUGCCUAGUGUAUAGUCCAAGAGUGUUCCUAUCAUAAUAACAGUUUUUGUCACAACUUUUCAUUUCCUAUAUAGAAUUAUGAACAGUCUUCUAUGCCAGCUCAGAUCAAAAUCCUCAAAAGAAAUUAAAAAGUUUUCUUCAAUGUCCUCAUAAGCACAAUGUCCAAUACAGUGAGAGCCGGAGGUGCUCAAAGAUAGCAAUCAAUCAAAUUUUUUGUGAGUUUAGCAGGACAAAAAAUACUUAUUGAGAAUCAACCAAAAAAACUUUUUAAUAUAAAAAAAGGAGAUUGAUAAUUACUUGAGCAAAAAAAGCCUUAUUUGUAGAUUUUCAUAGUCUGAACCAAAAUUCAUUUGUUUUUAAUGAAACAAAUUAAUUUGUUGUUUUUAAUGAAACAAAUGAUUGUUGUAUUAGAGCCAACUGUAUUGGAAAUCUGCUUACUGCAAUUUAUGUAAAAAAUAUUGUGUUGUAUACUGUUGUUUCAAAUUUUGUCCCAUUCAGUUUAUGAAAUCCUUUAUUUUUUAUCAUUUGUAUACAUGUAGUGGAGUAUAUUGUUCUUUAAUGUGGGGUACAACUUUGUUGGUUCAAGCUGUAGUUUAAUUGAUGUAUAGACGAGCAGAGGAAUCUAGUCAAUAAGGUUCCCACUUUUUAAAGCUUUAUUUAGAAGUGUGUAUAGACAAGCAGGAGAAACUAGUCGAUAAGUUUUCUGGAAGGACUUUUUUGUUUACGCAAAAUGACCGGUUGGUCUUCUUUUUAAUUCAAAUUCAGGUUUCGGUUUCGUUUAAAUAAAUGCUGCUGUAGAUUUUUGAAAGUCUUUACCAAGUCAAGUAAGACAUUCAGACUAGUAGGUCCCUGUUCAUCAAAGAUUAAAUCGGGUCAAACUGUUUAAAAUUUGAUCAACAGAAAUGGCCCUAUUUCAUACUUUAGAGAUAUGGUAUUACCUAACAAGCUAUGGUAUACGAGAUAUGGUAUUACCUAACGAGCUAUGGUAUACGAGAUAUGGCAUUACCUAAUGAGCUAUGGUAU
This 2708-nucleotide unclassified non-coding RNA is filed under the name Mizuhopecten yessoensis (Yesso scallop). RNAcentral's name for it is "ceramide synthase 4-like, transcript variant X2". The record is from RNAcentral. Lineage: Eukaryota; Metazoa; Mollusca; Bivalvia; Pectinida; Pectinidae.